UACGAAGGGGGCUAGCGUAGUUCGGAAUUACUGGGUGUAAAGCGCACGCAGCCGGACUAUUAAGUCAGGGGUGAAAUCCCGGAGCUCAACUCCGGAACUGCCCUUGAUACUGGUAGUCUAGAGACCGAGAGAGGUAAGUGGAACUCCUAGUGUAGAGGUGGAAUUCGUAGAUAUUAGGAAGUACACCAGUGGCGAAGGCGGCUUACUGGCUCGGAACUGACGCUGAGGUGCGAAAGCGUGGGGAGCAAACGGG
Molecule: unclassified non-coding RNA, 253 nt
Filed under: uncultured Alphaproteobacteria bacterium
Lineage: Bacteria; Pseudomonadati; Pseudomonadota; Alphaproteobacteria
Description: contains 16S-23S intergenic spacer region
Rfam family: Bacterial small subunit ribosomal RNA
Source: RNAcentral